UUAUUAAGUUGAUGAUCAAUAUCAAUUGUCAUAUGUCAUCCAGUCUACCUGCCGGCAGUGAGUAACACACCAGGUUGUUUUUACCAAUAGCGGAAUAGAGAAUUUCCUAGGGGGCUUUGUUCUAGAAGCAUAAAGACAAUUUCCAAGACUGUUGCCAUGGUAGCAGAACCAGACAAAAGUGGGCAGUCUAGAGAUCAUAAACAGAUCAAUGGAAAUAACGUGGAGAUUGUGUUGCAGUUCAGAUAUGAGAUGUCUCCACAGAAGUUCAUAUGUGAAAGACGAGGUUCUCUAUACGAGGUUCAGAGCCUGGUUCCUAGGAAAUGACUGUGUCGUUAUGGUGGUUUGAAUAUGCUUGGUCCAUGGGAAGUGUGGCACUAUUAGGAGUGUGGUCUUGUUGGAGUGGGUGUGGCUUUGUUGGAGGACAUGAGGUCAUUGUGUGGGUGCGCUUUGAGAUCCUGUACUCAAGCUCUGCCCAUUUCAGAACAGAGAUUCUUCUCCUGGUCUGGCUUAGGAUCAAGAUGUAGAACUCUAGGUUCCUCCAGCACCAUGUCUGCCUGCCUGCUGCCAUGCUUCCUGCCAUGAUGAUAAUGGACUGAACCUCUGAAACUGUAAGCCAGCCUCAACUAAAUUUGUUUCCUUUUAUGAGUUACCUUGGCCAAGGUGUCUCUUCACAGCAAUAAAACCCUCGUGAAAUCAUGGGCACAAUUAGUGGAUUAAUAAUACAUCAACAGACUUAUAGUUGAAUGGAUUAUUGGGAGAUCAGGCUGGACAUGAAGAAAUAAUAUCCUGGGAAUGUACCUUGGAAGGGUUUGUCUGCUCCCCCUUCUCUCUCUCUCCCUCCCUCCCUCCCUCCCUAUGAACCAUGAGGUGAGCAUUUUCUGUCUGCCCCUGGCUAUGAUCUUUUGCCUCACUACACACACAGAUCCCACGGCGAAGGAGUCAAUCUGUAAUGUACUGGAACACUCAAGACCGUGAGCCAAACUAAAUCCUUUCUUCCUUCAGUUGUUUUGUGCACUGUUGGUUCAGCAGCAGAAAGCAUCUAAGACACCUUACAAGCCAUGGGAAAUGACCAAUGUGUGUGUGUGUGUGUGUGUGUGUGUGUGUGUGUGUGUGUGUGGAAGGGUAAGGAACAUAUCAUAUUGAUGGCUGGGGUAGAGCAAGAAGACUCUAAUGAAUCUGGCUGAGAUUUCACUUUAAUGAGUUUCUACUGAAACAUCCAAGUCCUAGAUGCUUGUAGAAGACCUAUCAAUAGAUCCAGAAUCCAAUGAAGGCACCGCGCUUCAAACAUCAGCAGCCUCAGGCUGGUGAGCCUCAAAACAUAGAGGGAAGGUUGGAGAGUCAUCUUCAGUUCUGCUUCUAAUUGCAAACACCGGCCCUUUGAGAUUUUUCCAGCGCCUUCUGUCCUGACCCUAGCUUCAUGCCACUCUAAUUCCUGAGUUGGUCAGCCAUCAGCAGGGUCAAUCAUAACCGCCAGGGAACGGAUGUAGGGAGCCAAUCAGGAGAUAGGCUCCUUGGAGAAACAUUCCAGGGAUGGGAGUAAAAGAGUGGAACAAAUCUGGAGCAAUAUCCAGGAAGAGGCUAGGCAAGAGUAUGUCAAUGGCUGCAAAAGUACGUCAUGAAGGCAGUAGCUUAUGGACAGCAGGAAUACGUCUAGAAACUUUCUAGCCUGGAGACUGGAAAAAUACAAAAAAGAAGGUGUAUUCUGGGUCUGGUUCUAAAGGCCCCCUUCCUUGUAGAGAAGUACACUGUGGUGUCAUAUGAACAGAAGAGAGUGGAGUUGUUCCAAAAGAGACUAGAAGUACCGGUGAAGGGCACUAAUGCCAUUCAUGAGUACUCCAGCCCCCACCCCCAACAUCUCCCAGAUGCCCUAGCUCCUAAUACAAAAACCUUAGAGAUGAAGAUUCCAACAUAUGAACUUGGAAGAAUACAAACAUCCCAACUGUUAAGAGCUAACUGUUAGCUCGUAGAAGGACAUGGAGACUCACAACUUUAAUCCCAGCACUCAAGAAACAGGCAGGUGGAUUUCCAUAUGCGCUCUACCUGUGCUCAGAGGCAGGGGACAGGAGCUCAUGGAAUGAGUGGAUGAUUGGGACUAUGGGACUAUGUCUUUAUAUUUAGAACUUUCUUCUACAUUAAAAAUAAACCAGUUAUUUUGUUUUUAAAACAGAAACUCUCUUGGCAUACCUUUAUCUUUUAUAAUAUGCCUUUAUAACUUCAAAAAAUGAAUAGGCUCCUCCAAAUAAUCAAAUAAUUAUUUAGUAAAUUUUUUCCUAACAGAAUCUGCAUCCUCUUUCUCCUCUCUCCCUUCCCACUGGGAACCUUGUACCUCACCAGAAUGCAUGUGUGUUUGCUAGAUUCCACCCUGUUCCUAUCCAGAUCAAUCAGAACUAAUUUUGCAAGUAAAAUGUGUGGAGAGCUCACCCUAAGUGCUCUGCUAAAUUCUGAACGCUUAAUAUCUGCUUCACUGAACUCUGCUCCUAGCCUUGAAAGUCUCCUGCUAGCCACCAAUUUGGCUCGUCAUAGUUUAUCUUCUCAAAAAAAACAAAAAACAAAAAACAAAAAAAAAACAACAAAAAAAAACUAUGCUAUUUAUUGCUCUCAAUUAGAUUACCCUAGGUGUUCUGUACCAUGGAUACUUUCCCCACACGUCUCACAGAGUCUCUUGUGCAAUUGACACACGUGUCUAAUCUACCAGGAGGGCACAUCUAUGCACUCUUUCUCUAGCCUUUGCAGAAUUAUGUCUGAAUCUUCAUUUGCUCAAGAUGCAGUGUAAAAGGAUGAUCAGCUCAGGAGGUGGGUCAUCCAGAUCCACAAGGUCUUCAGUAUAUUUCUAUCACAGACUCUUGCCUUCUGGAGCAGGUAUUUAAUAAGACUUCCCACUAACCGUGGACUCUUUAUAAUGGGGGACUAUGUCAGUUUUGCCAGGGUUGAGAUGAGCUUUUCAGUUCUUAGAGAAUGUUUGAAUCCUCCAGCACUACAUUCUUCAUGCACAUGCUGCAUGCUUCUGCAGUGUCCUGGCUGUUUCCUUUCCUAUUCUGUAACCAACAAGGAACCAAAGAGAGAGAGAAAAGCCUUACCCACAACCUAUGGUCCUUGCUGUCUGUUAUCUUAAGUCUGGGACCUGGCAACAACUGGAAGAGAUGGGAAGGAGGAGUCAGCCAGUGCUAUCAAGAAUCUGGGUCAGCUCACAGAACAUGGUUAAGAGAUGCUUCUUGGUCUCUGGGUCCGUCCCUCAUCCCACUAGAUGGAAUGGAUUUCCAUCUCUUCCAGGAGGAAGGGAGCAGCCAGGCAAAAGAAGUGCCAAAGCAACAGAACUGUGAGUUGCUCAAAUAACACAGGGAUAGAUUAAUGUCAAUAAAGCACUACAUCUCCAUGCACAGACAGGCUGACCCUUCUAAAGGGAGGAGAGUAAUGAGGAAACCCUUCUUCUGUUCUAUGUGAACUUGUUUGAAACUAAAAACUGCCAAGCUGGUGCCCUACAUGGCCACACUGCUAGUAAAGAGGCUACUUAGCCUAGCCGGCUUUUCUCGGAUCUCCAUGAUGGGUGAGCAUAGACAUCAACAGUGGACACAACACAGUUGACUGUGUUAAUAUUCCAUUCUGUAUCUAAUACGCCCCAAGUAUUUCUUCUUUUCCCCUGGUUUGAUUUUUCAAGACGGAUUUUUUUCUGUGUAGCCCUAGCUCUCCUGAGACUUGCUUUGUAGACCAGGCUGGCCUUGAACUUAUGGAGAUUCACAUGUCUCUGCCUCCUGAGUGUGCUCCACCACUGUCUGGCUCAAGUAUUUCUUUAAGAGUUUCUGUGGCCUACAUCCCCAUAGCUCUGAUAGAGUUCCUCAGGGUCCAGAUAGAUAAGCCAUCGUCUAGCAAACUCCUCAAACAUAUUUUUCCUCUACAUGAAGGAAAGCUUCCUUCCUCUACGUGGCCAGGAAGCUUCAUUUCUUCCAGAGUUUGGGAAAACAAGGAAAAAAACAGCUUGAGAAAGUCACCAGUUAAAAUAUAACUAUAUGCAUGAAAUAAUAUGACAUAACUUUUUAUAUGUCAUUUUGGUUAUUUAUUAAGUAAAUAUGAUACACCCAUCUCUUGGGAUUGUUGUGAAGAUAGAACGAGAUAUGUAAUAUGAAGCACAAAGAAUCCUGAACUCAAUAAAAUGAGCUAUGAUUUUGCGUUAUGUAUACACAGGUGCCCGUGCUAUCAUUUAAGAAAGAAAGAAAGAAAGAAAGAAAGAAAGAAAGAAAGAAAGAAAGAAAGAAAAAGGAAGGAAGGAAGGAAGGAAGAAAGAAAGAAAGAAGAAAAAGGAAGGAAGGAAGGAAGGAAGAAAGAAAGAGAGAGAGAGAAAGAAAGAAAGAAAGAAAGAAAAAGGAAGGAAGGAAGAAAGAAAGAAAGAAAGAAGGAAAAGGAAGGAAGGAAGAAAGAGAGAGAGAAAGAAAGAAAGAAAGAAAAAAAGAAAGAAGAAGAAGGAAGGAAGAAAGAAAGAGAGAGAGAAAGAAAGAAAGAAAGAAAGAAAGAAAGAAAGAAAGAAAAAGGAAGGAAGAAAGAAAGAAAGAAAGAAAGAGAGAAAGAAAGAAAGAAAGAAAGAAAGAAAGAAAGAAAGAAAAGGUUUAUUGCUUUCCUUUGCUAGGAAGUUCAUAGGUAAUAGAACCCUAAUUUCACUGAAUAUGAACUGUCAACAAACGCACAGUCUGACAUAUUACGUAUUUGGCCAUAGAACAUACACUAAGUGUCCCGCGCGCGACUUUUCGCCGGCAAGGAGCACGCGGACAUUAGAAAUCCUUACUGUGACCACUUUAUUAAUCUUAGAAGAGGAAAAGCCACGCCGCACCAAUAUGGGGCACUUAUAAAACCCUCGUGCAGCGCACCCACACCUGAUUGGUUGUUACCCAUGAUCUCAUAAGGCACGCCCCGGAGUGGGCAAAGACCUGGCACGAAGGCACUCUUGCACAUGCGCACAGUUAACUACCUGAAAGGGGGGCCGGCUGGCGCGGCGAAGGUUGGCGCCAUCUUGUAAUGGCGGAGUCUAUCCUGACCUACCACGUGGUGCGCAGUGGAAGACAGCGCCAACUAGUGGUUGCGAAUGUUAUUGCGGCCCUCUACAACUAAGUUUAACUCCCUGGUAUCUUAUUGGUGAGGGACCUUCUCCUGCACCUCUGCCUACCCCCUUCUCCUCCCAUGGCUGGUCCCCAAACCUCCAAACAAGUAUGAGUUUACCUGUGCCUGAGUCGUGUCACAAGCCAUUCUACCAACCUAAAGGCUAUGGCCUAUCUGGCAGAAGCCAUCAGAUGGUGGAAAACUACUGAUCCACAUUGAGCUACACAAAACUGUUCGUCAAAUUCCUAGGAAGAGCAAACACUUCCCUGGCAAGUCCUCCAGCAAGGUCCUUGGCUAGAAGGAGCAACCACCUUCAUUAGGCACCAACCAAAAUCUUGGGUUUGAACGGUGACAAAUCUGGAACCUUUGGCUGAUGCCAGCUUGGGGCCUACUGCACAAAGGAAGCCCUUUUUUACAGACUCAGCACUGAAUCUGAACACACGGAGAAUUAAUCUUGGCUGCAAGUGGAAAGCCAGUGUGGAAAACAUAAUCUGGUGGCUAAGAUGUGAAAUGAAAGAUAUAAUAUGGCCCAAGCUUCCAGAGGCUAAGCUCUUUACUAGGUAGAAACAUGCAUUUAUGGAAUCUUAACCCAGUAGUACUGGUCUGAUACAAGAGUACGAGAACAGCAAGCGGGUUAAACCUUAAAAAAAUUCCUGUUUGCAAGCUGUCUGUCAAUCACUGGCAUGUAAAGUGAUCAGAAAAGGGCAUUAUUAGCCAGCAUCUCCACUUUCCUAUGUUUGCAGUGCUCUUUACAAAGAGAAGGAAGUCCUGCCCUUAAUGCUUGUACCUGGUGAGCCACUAAGCUUAGGAAGCCUGGGGUAGAAAGUGCCAAAAGGCCGCUCAGAGCAAAGGCAGUAGAGCACUUUUCUUUGGGGUAGUUGAGGAGGCCCCAGGGAGAGGUCACCUCACCUGGGUCCUUUGAGAAGAGAAUCUCAGGCAGAGGGGGUAACAUAAACAAAGACAGCUCAGAGAGGCAUGGCCAGGGUGUGGUGAGGAACUGUGUUCAGCCAAGCUGUGGGCAGCUGAGCCAGGGAGCAGUGGGGAUUGGAAGGCCUUCAACAUGCAAGGAGAUCAACCUUGACUCCCAGAGGCGUUUGAACAUUCCAUGUCUGCUUUUGCAACCAAAAGGCAACGGGAAUUUGAGGGAGGCAAAGAACUGAAUCGGGAGGAAGCUGAAAUUCCUACCUUCAUAUAGGCAUUCUGUUCUCUCCACAAGCUCAUUGUUGUUUGAAACAAGGAUCCCACAUGCAGACCAGCAACAGGCCUACAGUCUAUCCAGGAAGCAUAGAACCUUGAGCACAGAUGGCUUCUCUGGAGUGGUACUCAGCUCUAUAGAGAGUCCUGCCACCACUGUUGUGUGGGACCCGGCCAGCCUACUUCAGUGUUGUCUCCCAAUUUUCAUUGCCCAGAGUUUCUAGAACAUUGAAAACUCACCUUCAAUACACAGGGGUCACUCGUCACAGCUGUACAUAUUCUUCAAAUUGAUUAGUUUUGGGGGUUGUUUGACUCAUUGGUUUUCCUUUGGCAUAUCGUGGCUGCAAACAGAAAUUAGGCGGCAGUAUUAAGAAGCGCCGGGUUUUUAAUAUAAGAAAAACACAAUCGUGUCUUACUGGUAUCGAAAGUAUGCUGAUGACAAUUUAGACAGAAAACAAACAUCAGGGACCAUGAUUGAUUUUGAGAGCCACUGCCAGGAACUUGUUUACUUCUUUGGUCAAUUUGCAUUUGCUUUUGAUUUAAGUGUGGUUUUUCUAUCUAGCUGGCCAUACAAAAUUAAUGUUUUUCAAUCUCUUCUUUGCCCUUUCAUUUGCAGAUUUUCUUCAUCUCUGGUUGAUAAGAAAGAGAAGCAAUUGUGGAGUGUUAGAGGAGGUGCUACGUGGUUUUCUGAUGCUGGAGCCCUAUUCUGGACUAAAUAGUAACCAUUCAGAAAAGAAGAGCAAAGAGAAUGAUAGGUGCUGGUUGCCUGGCAACACUCUAAUAAGAUUAUCAAUGCCAUCUUCUUCACUUAAUUUAGGACAAGCAGCCAAGAUGUCUGUGAGAUCACGAUACCUUCCCAAAAUGGCUCCUGGUCCUCCACACUGUAGCCUCGUCUCCUCAGUACCAAAUCAUGCGUCUUUCCCAAGUGCCAAAUUAAGAGAGAAUCUGUUGACCAUUGGUUGGGUCAUUUGUUAGAAACUUGUGUCCACGGUGAUAAUAGCAAAGAAAGUUCUGGAAGCCACCAUUUCAGGCUGGAGGAGGGAUUUGCAAGGCUGAGUGGGAAGACUACUGUUUCUCCUACCCAUUUUCAAAUGAGUAUGGCUGAGCGUGCCUGACUUCCAAAGCAAGGCACUGUAAAGGCCAUCACACCACCAGGUUGGUCAAGACGUCAGUCCCCAGUGGGUUGCCGUUUGUCGUGCAGCCUUCGAGAAGUGCAGUCGGAACCAUGCUGGGCACAGAGGGACAUGCUUUUCACCACAGCACACGCUAGGAGCCAACACCUCAGGGAUGCAGUUUAACUUUAUGGCCAAAGGAAGAGAGUGGGACAGGAGGACAGAAACUAACCCUUUCUCGAAAAAGAAACUGAAGUUAUGGAAAAAAACUAAGCUUCAGAACUUGUAGGUGUAACCACCACCACUCUUCAAGGAAGCCUCUCACUACAGCAAGUGGAGACCAUCAGAGAAAACCACGGCUGGACAGAAUGUGGGGAUAAACACCCAUGAAGAGCCUUGCCCCAACCCAUGCAUCUCCGUAAUAGCUCCUGCAUGUGUGGCGCAGAGGACAUCACAGAAGAGGGGUCUGAAAGACGUGAGAGCCAAAAUAAUACCAAGUCUUCUGUAAAUCAGUCUCUCCUAGAAAUGGCAGUAUAAAGAAGCCCAGAACUAUUAAUGGACAUUAAUAUUGACGUGUAUGGGAGAAAUUUCAUGGAGUCCCAUCUCCUGACAUUGUCUACUGGUUGUACAGUGCAUAGUGGUCAGCUUUGAAAGCAUAUAGAUACCAACAACAAAAUGAACUCAGCAGGUAAAAUGCCAAAAAUGUUUAUUUUGCUAGUCUGCACACUAAUGUGAGGAAGUCAAGAUGGCCAGCUCUUCAGAGACGCUUUAAACCUCAAGUUCUCCACAGGGGCACUGCAAGAAAAAUGUGGAAGAUGGGUUACUGAACAAACGCAGACACGUUCCCCUUUCUCAAAGCUUCCCCCACCAUAUCCACCUGCUCCCCAACCACCCCCAGGGACAAGUCACUGCAGGACUAGAGAAUGGGGCACAUCCUGUUGCACUGAGGCCAGACGAGGCAGACGAGUUAAGGGAAUGAGAUCCACAGGUAAGCAAUACAUACAGGGACAGGCCCUCUUUCAGUUGUUGGAGGGCCUGCAUGAACACCAAGCUGUGUAUCUGCUACAAAUUUGAAGGAAUAGAGGGGAGGGGUGCAUAAUUUACAAUCAGUGCUUGCUCUUUGCUUCGUGGUUGGGUCUCUGAGAGCCCUCAAAGGUCCAGGUUAAUUGACUCGGUUGUUCUUCCUGUGGAGGCUAUGUCCUCAAUCCUUCCUCAAGACUCCCUGAGCUCCAUCUAAGGUCUGGCUGUGGGUCUCUGCAUCUGCUUCAGUCAGCUGUUGGGUGGAGCCUCUCAGAGGACAAUUAUGCUAGGAUCCUGUUUGCAAACAUAACAGAGUAUCGUUAACAGUGUCAGGGACUGGUUCUCUGGCAAGAAUUCUUAAGAAAGAGAAAUUGGGGGGGGGGGUGUAUCGUAAAUGCUGGAUCAAGAAACAAGUUAAAGAGGAAGAUAAAGGAAACUGAUGUUUGUGUCUUUCCUAAGCUCAUUGUUGUUUAACGCAAGCACAAUCUUCACUACACACAACAGUGCCUGGCAUAUAGCGGUGGUCACAGAACCUUCUUUUUAAACAGGUAAGUCUAUAACGUUGUUGUACAAGACUGACCUUCAAGCCAAACAGCUAACACCGUGGGGAAUUCAGUUCUGCCCAGUUGUAAAAGAUCCCCAACUGAUUUUGUCAACUGUAGCAUCAUCCCCUCAUUAGAGGACUGGAGAGGGUAUCGAGACCCUCACACCUGAGGACCCAACCGCUCCAUACCUCCAGUACCAAGCUGCCCAAUUACAGGUCUCAGGGAGGAGCUGGAACAUAGAGGCCAUGGAAGGCUAGGGGAGGUGGGGCUUCCUUCUCUAUGACUAUGGGAAAGCCCUCGUGCCUGCUUGGUAAAGACUUUCUGAUAGAACUCUUUGGGGCCACACCUACAUGUCAGUAAGUAACCCCUCACUUAUGUUCUGUAAGUAGGCACAAUAAAGUCACCAUGCAUGAGCUUCGGCAGAAUGGUGCCAUGGUUUGUGACUGGGACUGGAGUGAGGAGGUGAGGGGAGGUGGGGAUGUGACUUAUCCUCCCUCCUGGGAGGAAUUUUAACAGCAACCACACUGCUGAGACAAGGGUACCCUGCUCUUUUAAGAAAGAUCGCUGGAAUGCAUCCUUGGGUCGUUUUUCUGAACCCAAGCGCUCCUUGGAAAGGGUGGGGCCUGCUUUUAGUCAGGAAUUUGUGAUCAGGAAGAGAUUGGAAGUUACUUUUGAAACAAAGACAGGAAAGGUGCUGGGUUUUGACUUUCCGAAUGGGUGCCACACCAUGUUUGUCAUGAGAAGUGGUAUGUCAGUCACCCCUCUGGCUACCUCAUCUGCCACACUCCCUCCUUCUGGGAGCACUCCUAGUCAUUCACACCAGUCUGUGGAACAAGGGGACACUGGUUACAUUCCUUCUGAGAUCCUUUAACAUAAAAAGAGGCCGUUCUUUCUACCUGGUUGUUUCUUUCCCAGGUUCCUAUGCUUCUGUUCCCUUAUCGGGGCUCCGAGCCAUUUUCCUAGAACUCUUGGCUUUUAUCCACAGGCCCUGAAACACAGGUCAAGGAAUGUGGCACCUGAUAGAAGAGAGGGGACCAACCCUUCUAUGACUCUCUCCUUUGCUGGCUGCGCUAAGGAGCUCAAAGUUUGCCCACAGAGGGAUGGACGAGUCAGUUAGGACCCAGCUGAAGAAGCUUGUCCUGAAAAACCUUCUCCUGUCAAUGUUUGUAAUCUAGCCUAUUGAAUUUUAGAGCCAGCAGAGAAUUUAGAAAGCAAAUUCAACCCCCUCGAUUUAAAAAUUAGGGAAAUGAAGCUCAGAGAAAGGAGAUUAACAGGCCUAAGUUCCCACAGCAAGGAAGUGGCCUUGGUUGUGGCUGCUCCUGACUCCCUAAGAGUAAUGGUGCCAUGAACGGAGGCAGAAGGUUGCAUGCGAGCUUCUAGUUUUUGAGACAGGGUCUCUCUAUGUAGCUUUGGUUGGUCUGGAACCCCCUUUGCAGACCAGGCUGCUCUCUCUAGAACUCAGAAUUCACCCCACCUCUGCCUCCCAGUGCUCAGAAAAUUGUGCAUAUUUGUAAAAGGCUCUAUGUAGAUAAAUUCAGUAAGGGUUGCAUGUUUUCCCUCAAACUAACAAACACAUGUUUGUUUGGUUGGUUGAUGUUCCACCCCACCCCCAAUAGGUUUUCCUUAGACUUACACAUUUUUACCAUUUAAUCUCCACGCAUUCGCACCCUUUUAAGCUAUGGUUGGACUUACAAAUAUAUAACCUGUUUGAGGAAAUAUGAACCACCUUUCCAAAUUCUCCUUUAUUGGCUAAUCCAAGUUUACCUUGGGGAAGGGGAGUAGAGCUAAAGCAAGCAUUGUUUUUGCAAAAUCGAGCCCUUAUGCCAUGGGAGGGCGUGGAUAGUGGUUUUGCAGUCUGGAUUGACAUUUUUUCAAGAAGCCAUGAAAAAGGAGAACAUGCAGACAAUGAUACUCUAGAGCUGAAAGGAGCCAUGAGAGGUGUUAUUUAGGUCAACUAUUUCACAGUGUAGCUCAGAAAACAAAAGCCCAGAGCUGGAACUGUCUCCUCUAAGGUCAGUAAAGCCUGCCCCUCCCACUUGGUUCUCUUUAAAUAGGAGCUUUUAAACUAGAAGGAAGGACCAGAGACGACUGUGAAUUUUUAAGAAAUAUCUCCCAGGUUUUUCUACAGAGAGAGAGAGAGAGAAAGAGAGAGAGAGAGAGAGAGAGAGAGAGAGAGAGAGAGAGAGAGAGAGGAGAGAAGCUCCCUAGAUGGCCAAAGAGAACAAGAACAAAUGUGUCUUUGGAACCACAGAAUCACUGAGGGAGAAGUCUAAGUCAAAGCUGAUAGACAGGCAGGCCUCUUAUUUCCAGGCCCCGAGACCAGUGUGGCCUUGGAUGGGAGAGAAUGCCCAUGAGUAGAAGACGCAGGCCUGUCAAAGGCCCUACUGAAGUGCAGAGUUAUAUUCCCAACAACCUGGCCUCUAUGGCCAAGUGGUGGCAGACCUGGAAAUCUGGGACCAUGUCUGAAGCAGGAUGUUUGUGGUUGUCACGCUGAGAAGGGGGUUGUUUGUGUCUAGUGCUAAGAAACCAGAGAUGAAAAGCCAUGGCCUUCUGCUCUACCAAAAGGUGGUACCCCCGUAGUGCGUCCUGCCAAGGCUGAGAGAGGCUCUACCCCAUCUUUCAAGCGGGGCUUAGCUUUGUAUCAUUUCCCCCAAAUGCUCCCCUUCUGAAUGAAAGCCUAAUAACCACUCCAGAAAGAUUCACCACUCUCUUUAGGUCUUUAGCAUUUUACAACCCCCACUCCCCACGACCAAGGGGGGGAAAAUUAUAAUUCAGAUGCUGAAAAGGUGAGCAGUACAGGAAGCAACCAUUUUCAUAACAAUUCCUGGUGCUGAAAAUAUAUGCGUAGGAGAGCCUAUUUUCUGUGGACUUACAUUUUUCUUGUUCUUUGUUGUCAUCCCCGCCAUUCUUGGUAAAUUUGUUUUCAUUUUAAGUGUUACAAGCAGUUAUUAUGUAUUCCAGGCAGGGCUCCCAAGCUGUGACAAUUUAAAUGAGGGAAACUUUUUUUUUUGUAGGCAAAAAAAAAAAAUGAUAAAAGUAUAAAUGGUUUGUUGGAACACUGAAAAAACUCGCCUCAGAGAGCAAAAUUCUUUUUAUGUUGUCUUAAUAUUAAUCCAAAAUGAAAAUGUCCUUCACUUCAUAAAGGGAAGAUUUGGCAGGUAUGAGAUACAAUGGGACAAGGAUACGUCCCCUUCCGCAUUUAGAUCAGCGUGUCUUCUAAGGAGACUUUGAAACCAAUAGUACAUAAGAUGCCACAAAUAAUUUUUUUUUUAAAACUGCUUAAAUCUUUAACACAUCCAGUUCAAAGGAACAGAGGCACAAAAUAGCAGUAUGAAAGAACAAACAGGGCUUUGAAGACAAACCUGAAAGCUCGAAUCCUAACCCAGGGUGGAUGUCCUGCUCCAUGACCCAAGGCACUUGGUGUUUGUUAAAUCGGUUAGUUUAUAAUCAAAUAAUAAUACGAGGUGGUUGGGAGGCAAAGAAGUUAUGUACAUGGAAAUGUCAAUAUGUAAUUUCCUAUAUUAGCUCCCUAUUACUACUUAAAAAAAAAUACCAGUGGCAUCACAUUCUAUAAAGAAAAGGCAUUUAUAUCGCUUGCUAUUUAUGGAACUGAGUAUCAAUCCGUGUGUCAGCUCUGGUAAGGCUCUUCUGAGUAACCUCGUGGUGAAUGGCAUCGUGGCAGACAGGUGCUUGGUGAGAUUAUACAUCCGAAUGGAAAGUCAGACACACAGUCUGGGGUCAAGUUGGCUCUUUUUUUUUUUUUUUUUUUUUUGUUUUUAAAGAUUUAUUUAUUUUGUGUAUGUGGGUACAUUGUCACUGUCUUCAGACACACCAGAAGAGGGCAUCGGAUCCCAUGACAGAUGGUUGUGAGCCACCAUGUGGUUGCUGGGAAUUGAACUCAGGACCUCUGGAAGAGCAGUCAGUGCUCUUAACCGCUGAGCCAUCUCUCCAGCCCAAGUUGACUCUUUUAUAUCAACUCACUCUCAUAGGAGGUGAGAUCCCUGGCCCUCUGCUAUCCUGUACCCCCGAUGAUCUAUAUUAUCUUUUUGUUUGUUUGUUUGUUUUUACUUAGCAUUUAUUAUAUAAUGUUGACUUCAGUGUGACAGUUUCAUACAUGGACAAAACACACUUUGAUCAUAUUCACCUCCUAUCAUCUGCUCUUGGCCCCUCCUCCUCCCGUCGAUCCUCUUUCUCUUCCCAUCUGGUUCCUCUUCCACUUUCGGGCAGGUUUUUGUUUUGCUUUCGUCUACUGUGACUCACUGAGUUUAAUUUAGAGUUGUGUACAGGAGCACAGAGCAGUUUACCAGCAAGGUCUCAUGAUGCCCCACCCCCCACCCCCAUGAUGGACAAUCGACCAGACCAAUCUUGUGCCGGUCUUGUGCAGGUACUCACAGGGGCUCAGAGUUCAAGAGUACACCACCAGACAUCACCCUCAGAGGACAGCAUUUCACAACACUUCUUCUGUUGCUCUCACUUCUGAUCCCUCUUCUACCUAAGCCUUGGAGCAGCAACCUCCCAAUGCCAAACCAAACUGUGCCCAAAGCCGAGCGCAGCGCUGAUCUGCGGGCAUAAACACAGGAAAUCUGAAGGCAACUCUAUAGGCAUAUUAACUCAAUUGAGCAAUUCAGCAGCACUACUGUGUCUACAUGGACCCAGAACUUCCCCUCAAAUGGGCUUUUGACCAGGUUUAGAAUACCUGGAGUGAGACCCUCCUAUGAAGCAAGCCCGAAGCCAAUCACAAGCAGUUGUUUACCUACGGUCACGCCCCUCAACUGCCCCAGUGGGCAAGUCUCGCCUGACGUAUUGUUUGUUGUACUUUGUAGGGUUUUCUGAAGGGUAAGACAGUUAAAGGUUCCCCACCACGGUCCCCACUCACGCUCCGUAGUCUGCAUAGCAACUCCCAUCGUUACAAAAACUACAUCUACACAACCAUGCCUGAAUACCAAGCCCCUAAGACCAAUCACAACACCCCUGGAUGAUGGUGCGAUGGCCUUGCCAAAGUGAGGAGCAUUCACCGUUGAUGGCACCAUCAAGAUCAGACCCACAGUUAUACCAAAGGAACACUUUGGGUACGUUGUUUAUAGUACAUACACUGUCUUUAAUUCCAUAUCUUUUCUUUCUGUCUUUUUUUCUGUUUCAGGUGAGGAACCUUUGAAGAAGAGUGACUGCAACUCUGUCAGAACACAGUCAUGACAACACAUUUUAUCUAUUAAACCAAAAUAUUAGAGAAAUAUUGGAGAUUUUUCCUCUGGAUUUUUUUUGACAAGCUGGUAAAUAAAUACAAGUUAGCAAAGAAGGGUUGCAUGCAGAAAUAGCCCAGCCACUAGAAUUUAUUACUUUGAAAGGUAGCUCAAAAGCCUUACCAGCUGCAUUACAUCAUUAACAAUGUGUCGAAGGACACAGCUUGUGGAAGCCCAGCGGUGGGCCAGAAUUGACACAAACAGAAAAGUAAUUUUAAGGGAAGAAAAUGUAGCUGUAGAUGAUAUCCUAGUAAAUACGAAACUAGGAGUUUGGAAUUUGUUAUUUCCUUGUGUGCCUUUGGAUUUUUUUUUUUUUCAAUGCAGAGUUUCAUGGCAACGGAAAGGUGAAUAGAGAGAAAGCAGUGGAUUAAUUUAUUUAGACUCUCAACAGACUUUUGAUAAAGUCCCACACACAAGAGACUCUUAAGGAAACUUAACAAACUGGGUAAGAGGUAAAGGGCUGUCAAUCAUGAGUUAACUGUGGGUUAAGAGAUAGAGGGAAUGAAAGACUAAAUGACCCACUCUCAACACGGAAAGGAGUUAAUGGUGGGGUGUCAGCAAUCAAUAGAAAAGCAGUGUUCUCCAGGAUUUUAUUAACACCCUUGAAAAUGGACUAAAUGGCUUGAAUUUGCUGACUACGCAAAAACUAUUUUGGUUCACAAAGUCUACAUAGACAGAUGUGAGACACACAGGAUCCAAACUUGGUGAUUGAGCAAAACAGUGGCAGAUGAAGCUCUGAGCAGGCAAGCUUGAAGCAACUCUCAUUGGAAGUACUACAGUGAUGCCUCAGGGGCUCAGAUGAGUUCUGAGUCCACACUAACCUUAAGUGAGGGAGAGGCAGACUCACGUGAGACAGCGUGAUGAAAUUCCAUACAUCACGCCCAGCAAAGUUCUGUUUUGUUUUCAAAAAGGGAACCAAGCAAAUGCUCUUAAAUUUUGAAAACAAUAUAUAUGUAUAUGUUCUGAUGCCAUGAUAGAUUAAAAAGGACACAGGAAUAUGAUCCAAGUAUAUGAUACAUUUGUAUAAAAAUGUCAUUAUGAGGGCUGGUGGGGUAGCUCACUGGGUAAAAUGCUUGCUAAUCAAUCUGAAGACCGGAGUUUGGUGCUGAGGACCUACAUGGUAAUAGAAGAGAAACGAAUCCUAAUAGUUAUUCUCAGACUUCUACAUGUACACAUGCAUACACAAUAAAGACGCAAAUGCACCUUUUAGAACAACGUUGCA
Molecule: non-coding RNA, 15418 nt
Organism: Rattus norvegicus (Norway rat)
Lineage: Eukaryota; Metazoa; Chordata; Mammalia; Rodentia; Muridae
Source: RefSeq, a predicted model, not a curated record